UGGCCUCAUCGUAUUGCCGUGUGUUCGUCACAUCAUCAAAAAAUUAUCAUAUCAUCAGAUGGAUAAAAUACGGUCCAACAAUAUACUUUAUUAACUUAUUUUAUUUUUUAUUCUUUGAUCAUAUUUGGAUGAUUAGAUUCUCUGAUUUUAAUCAUAGUUGUUAAUUCAGAUAUUGCAUAAAGGGAGAGAAAGUAUACUUAAAUGGUCAUCAAGGGAAGGGAUGUCUGUGUGUCUUCAUACGAGAACCAGAUACGAUCA
This 258-nucleotide long non-coding RNA is filed under the name Elaeis guineensis (African oil palm). RNAcentral's name for it is "long non-coding RNA (EGUI_LNC001342)". The record is from RNAcentral. Lineage: Eukaryota; Viridiplantae; Streptophyta; Magnoliopsida; Arecales; Arecaceae.